RNAcentral lists this ribosomal RNA (269 nucleotides) under uncultured bacterium. RNAcentral's name for it is "partial 16S ribosomal RNA". It matches the Rfam family "Bacterial small subunit ribosomal RNA", at positions 40 to 339 of the family's 1533-position model. The record is from RNAcentral.
CGGUGUGUUUAAUACAUGCAAGUCGAGCGGCCAUUUAUGGCAGCGGCGAACGGGUGAGUAACGCGUUGGGAUCUGCCCCGAACUCAGGGAUAACAUCGAGAAAUCGGUGCUAAUACCGGAUAGUCUCGCAAGAGUAAAGAUUUUUCGGUUCGGGAGGAACCUGCGUCCUAUUAGCUAGUUGGUAAGGUAACGGCUUACCAAGGCGAUGAUGGGUAGCUGGUCUGAGAGGAUGAUCAGCCACAAUGGGACUGAGACACGGCCCAUACUCC